GUAAGGACAUGUGGAGCGCUUAGAAGUGAGAAUGCCGGUGUGAGUAGCGAAAGACGGGUGAGAAUCCCGUCCACCGAUUGACUAAGGUUUCCAGAGGAAGGCUCGUCCGCUCUGGGUUAGUCGGGUCCUAAGCUGAGGCCGACAGGCGUAGGCGAUGGAUAACAGGUUGAUAUUCCUGUACCACCUAUAAUCGUUUUAAUCGAUGGGGGGACGCAGUAGGAUAGGCGAAGCGUGCGAUUGGAUUGCACGUCUAAGCAGUAAGGCUGAGUAUUAGGCAAAUCCGGUACUCGUUAAGGCUGAGCUGUGAUGGGGAGAAGACAUUGUGUCUUCGAGUCGUUGAUUUCACACUGCCGAGAAAAGCCUCUAGAUAGAAAAUAGGUGCCCGUACCGUAAACCGACACAGGUAGUCAAGAUGAGAAUUCUAAGGUGAGCGAGCGAACUCUCGUUAAGGAACUCGGCAAAAUGACCCCGUAACUUCGGGAGAAGGGGUGCUCUUUAGGGUUAACGCCCAGAAGAGCCGCAGUGAAUAGGCCCAAGCGACUGUUUAUCAAAAACACAGGUCUCUGCUAAACCGUAAGGUGAUGUAUAGGGGCUGACGCCUGCCCGGUGCUGGAAGGUUAAGAGGAGUGGUUAGCUUCUGCGAAGCUACGAAUCGAAGCCCCAGUAAACGGCGGCCGUAACUAUAACGGUCCUAAGGUAGCGAAAUUCCUUGUCGGGUAAGUUCCGACCCGCACGAAAGGCGUAACGAUUUGGGCACUGUCUCAACGAGAGACUCGGUGAAAUCAUAGUACCUGUGAAGAUGCAGGUUACCCGCGACAGGACGGAAAGACCCCGUGGAGCUUUACUGUAGCCUGAUAUUGAAAUUCGGCACAGCUUGUACAGGAUAGGUAGGAGCCUUUGAAACGUGAGCGCUAGCUUACGUGGAGGCGCUGGUGGGAUACUACCC
Molecule: ribosomal RNA, 946 nt
Filed under: Staphylococcus aureus
Lineage: Bacteria; Bacillati; Bacillota; Bacilli; Caryophanales; Staphylococcaceae
Description: bacterial LSU rRNA
Rfam family: Bacterial large subunit ribosomal RNA
Source: RNAcentral